CCUGAACGCUGUCGGCGUGACUAAGACAUGCAAGUCGUACGGGCGUAGCAAUACGUCAGUGGCGCACGGGUGAGUAAGGCAUCGCUAAUCUGCCCCGGGGCCUGGGAUAGCCAGCCGAAAGGUUGGGUAAUACCAGAUGAGACCACGAACCGGCAUCGGUUUGUGCUCAAAGGUUCGCCGCCCUGGGAUGAGGCGAUGUGGUAUCAGCUAGUUGGUGGGGUAACGGCCCACCAAGGCUUCGACGCCUAGCCGGACUGAGAGGUCGGCCGGCCACAUCGUGACUGAGACACUGCCCGAACUCCUACGGGGGGCUGCAGUAAUGAAUCUUCCGCAAUGCACGAAAGAGUGACGUAGCGACGCCGUGUAAAGGUUGAAGUCCCUCAGGAUGUAAACUUCUAAAACCUGUUAGAAAGUUCUGAUCGACAGUCUAUAAGUGACGACUAACUCUGUG
RNAcentral lists this ribosomal RNA (451 nucleotides) under uncultured bacterium. RNAcentral describes it as "partial 16S ribosomal RNA". It matches the Rfam family "Bacterial small subunit ribosomal RNA", at positions 30 to 507 of the family's 1533-position model. The record is from RNAcentral.